This 1825-nucleotide long non-coding RNA is filed under the name Fragaria vesca (wild strawberry). Its description in RNAcentral is "long non-coding RNA (FVES_LNC002337)". Lineage: Eukaryota; Viridiplantae; Streptophyta; Magnoliopsida; Rosales; Rosaceae. The record is from RNAcentral.
UUGACACUUCAAAUAGAUCAGUACCCUACUAAAAAGUUAGCACGUACAAAGGUAAGGAGCCUCACUCAUGUGACCAUGAUCACAUUGUUAUUACUAUUGUUUUAUUAUGUUUUAGAACAAUGCUCAAUUACCAUUAGCACUCAUGCAGUCAUGCCUUCACUGAUGAGAGCUCUUAUUUGUAAAUUUUACGUUGCUGACAUUCUGUUGCAAGGCGCAACCCUAUCGAUCUCUAGAAACCAAACACAUAUAUGUUUUACAUAUAAAUUUACAUAAGUGAUAUACUCAUGUGGACUAAAAAACUAAAAGGGUUGUAUACACUACCAGGACAAGCACUUUAGCCAACGAAAAAUUUUCGUCGGCCUGUCAGUUUAAUUCGUCGGCUAAGAUUUCGUCGGGAAAAGGUCGUCUGUGGUGACUUUAGCCGACGACACAUGUAGAGGUCGUCGGCUAUAGUCCAGAGUUUAGCCGACGAAAAAAAUGUCGUCGGCUAUAGUCCAGACUUUAGACGACGAAAAAAAUGUCGUCGGUUAUAGUCCAAACUUUAGCCGACGAAGCAUUUAAGGUAUUCGUCGGCUAUAGUCUAGAGUUUAGCCGACGAAAAACAUGUCGUCGGUUAUUUCUCCUACUUUAGCCGACGAAAAAUUUAAAAUAUUCGUCGGCUAAAGUUUGUAAUAAAAAAAUAAAAACAUCUAUAGCCGACGAAAUAUAGUCUAUUUCGUUGGCUUUAUAGGGAUUUAGCCGACGAAUUAAAGCGUAUUUCGUCGGCUAAAACUUAUUUUUAAAAAAAUAAAAAACUUUAGCCGACGAAUUAAGGCGUUUUUCGUCGGCUAUAAGUCCAUUCCAGUAAAAAAAAAAACCCCGAAAUUUCUGAAUUACCAUUCCAAGCAAGCUGCAAAAUACACCAAAACAAUUCCAUAUAACCAACAACAAACACAUAAAACUAUAUAAUUCAUUCAUCAACUACAGAAAAUCUAAAUCGUCUAAAUUAAUAUCCGCUUCUGGGGGCUGCUGCGGAGGUUGCGGCGGCUGGGGUAGCGGUAUGGGCGGAGGCAUGGGUGGAGCCGGAAGUCCCUGAAGCUGGGCAGCUGUAAAGUCCUGCAUGUACUGGAACAUCUGCUGCUGCUGGGCCUGUUGGAUGGCAUGUAUCUCGGCAACAUAGGUUGCCUGCGCGGCAUUAUAGGCUGCCUGCGAGGCAUUAUAGGCAGCCUGAGCAGCUUGCUGUUCUCGUAGUCUCUGAACUUCCGACUCUAGCUGAGUCGUCCUGGUGGUCGUGGACGUGGUCCUGCUGCUGGUCGAGGCUGCCUUUCGUUGAAAUCCUGGAGUGGUCUUCAGGACCCCCUCGCCUUUCUUUCCUAGACCCCGGCAGUAGAAGUUGUUUGCUCUCGGUGGGAAGGCUGUGCCCAUGAUCCUCGCCCCAAUCGUUGGAUCCGAAGUGUCGAUCUGGGACAUGGCUUCGGACAUCUCUUCCUCCUGCGUGUCCGGCCAUGUCUCCCUCGCUAUAGCACGCAUCACCUCGUCACUAGCCUCCCUCACCUUCGCCUAUAUGGAUAGGAAAAAAUUAUUAAUUAACAUUUUGACAUAUAUAUAAGUAAAUUUAAAAAUUUAAGGAAACGUAAAAUGACUUACAAUAUCCUCCUGGGUGUCAGGAUAUGCCUUCUCGUACGUAUAGACGUACCGGUUGACUUCUGGAUGUUCCCUGGCUGCCUUGUCCAUGAAGACAGCGAACGGUCUAGAACCGCCAUGAUGGUUCCUUGUGUUGCGUUGCCAGUUCUGAGAGUUCGCUCGGGAAACGGCAUUCAAAGAAAAAAUAAAUUAUUAGUAAAAN